GUAAUGUAUCGGAACGUGCCCAGUAGCGGGGGAUAACUACGCGAAAGCGUGGCUAAUACCGCAUACGCCCUACGGGGGAAAGGGGGGGAUCUUAGGACCUCUCACUAUUGGAGCGGCCGAUAUCGGAUUAGCUAGUUGGUGGGGUAAAGGCCUACCAAGGCGACGAUCCGUAGCUGGUUUGAGAGGACGACCAGCCACACUGGGACUGAGACACGGCCCAGACUCCUACGGGAGGCAGCAGUGGGGAAUUUUGGACAAUGGGGGAAACCCUGAU
This 274-nucleotide ribosomal RNA is filed under the name Advenella sp. Li1-3. RNAcentral describes it as "partial 16S ribosomal RNA". It matches the Rfam family "Bacterial small subunit ribosomal RNA", at positions 110 to 387 of the family's 1533-position model. Lineage: Bacteria; Pseudomonadati; Pseudomonadota; Betaproteobacteria; Burkholderiales; Alcaligenaceae. The record is from RNAcentral.